RNAcentral lists this ribosomal RNA (197 nucleotides) under uncultured bacterium. RNAcentral describes it as "partial 16S ribosomal RNA". It matches the Rfam family "Bacterial small subunit ribosomal RNA", at positions 337 to 524 of the family's 1533-position model. The record is from RNAcentral.
UCCUACGGGAGGCAGCAGUGGGGAAUCUUCCACAAUGGACGAAAGCCUGAUGCAGCAACGCCGCGUGAGUGAAGAAGGCCUUCGGAUCGUAAAACUCUGUUGUAAGGGAAGAACACGUGCGAGAUAAUCUGCCCCGACCUUGACGGUACUUUAUAUAAAAAGCCACCGGCUAACUACGUGCCAGCAGCCGCGGUAAU